Molecule: unclassified non-coding RNA, 226 nt
Filed under: Hevea brasiliensis (rubber tree)
Lineage: Eukaryota; Viridiplantae; Streptophyta; Magnoliopsida; Malpighiales; Euphorbiaceae
Source: RNAcentral
GCCUUAUGACCCUGUAGGAGCUGCCCUUUUUGGUGAUGGAGCUGCAGCUGUAAUCAUUGGAGCCAACACUGUAAUAAACAAGGAGUCUCCUCUCUUGGAGCUUAACUAUGCAGUUCAGCAAUUCUUGCCAGGUACGCAAAAUGUCAUCGAUGGAUGCCUUUCUUAAGAGGGUAUAAAUUUCAAGCUUGGAAGGGACCUUCCUCAGAAGAUAGAAGAUAACAUAGAG